GACGUAGGGCGCGAGCGUUGUCCGGAAUUAUUGGGCGUAAAGGGCUCGUAGGCGGUUUGUCGCGUCGGGAGUGAAAACCCAGGGCUUAACUCUGGGCUUGCUUUCGAUACGGGCAGACUAGAGGUAUGCAGGGGAGAACGGAAUUCCUGGUGUAGCGGUGAAAUGCGCAGAUAUCAGGAGGAACACCGGUGGCGAAGGCGGUUCUCUGGGCAUUACCUGACGCUGAGGAGCGAAAGUGUGGGGAGCGAACAGG
RNAcentral lists this ribosomal RNA (253 nucleotides) under uncultured bacterium. RNAcentral describes it as "partial 16S ribosomal RNA". It matches the Rfam family "Bacterial small subunit ribosomal RNA", at positions 524 to 776 of the family's 1533-position model. The record is from RNAcentral.